GAGUUUGAUCAUGGCUCAGAUUNAACGCUGGCGGCAGGCCUAACACAUGCAAGUCGGACGGUAACAGGAUUAGCUUGCUAAUUGCUGACGAGUGGCGGACGGGUGAGUAAUACUUAGGGAUCUGCCUUUGUGAGGGGGAUAACCAUUGGAAACGAUGGCUAAUACCGCAUAAUGUCUACGGACCAAAGGGGGCUUUUAGCUCUCGCACGAAGAGGAACCUAAGCGAGAUUAGCUAGUUGGUGGGGUAAAGGCUCACCAAGGCGACGAUCUCUAGCUGUUCUGAGAGGAAGAUCAGCCACACUGGGACUGAGGCACGGCCCAGACUCCUACGGGAGGCAGCAGUGGGGAAUAUUGCACAAUGGGGGAAACCCUGAUGCAGCCAUGCCGCGUGUGUGAAGAAGGCCUUCGGGUUGUAAAGCACUUUCAGUCGUGAGGAAAGGUUGGUAGUUAAUACCUGCCAACUAUGACGUUAGCGACAGAAGAAGCACCGGCUAACUCCGUGCCAGCAGCCGCGGUAAUACGGAGGGUGCGAGCGUUAAUCGGAAUUACUGGGCGUAAAGCGCACGCAGGCGGUUUGUUAAGCUAGAUGUGAAAGCCCCGGGCUCAACCUGGGAGGGUCAUUUAGAACUGGCAGACUAGAGUCUUGGAGAGGGGAGUGGAAUUCCAGGUGUAGCGGUGAAAUGCGUAGAGAUCUGGAGGAACAUCAGUGGCGAAGGCGACUCCCUGGCCAAAGACUGACGCUCAUGUGCGAAAGUGUGGGUAGCGAACAGGAUUAGAUACCCUGGUAGUCCACACCGUAAACGCUGUCUACUAGCUGUUUGUGUAUUUAAUACGUGAGUAGCGAAGCUAACGCGCUAAGUAGACCGCCUGGGGAGUACNGCCGCAAGGUUAAACUCAAUGAAUU
RNAcentral lists this ribosomal RNA (904 nucleotides) under uncultured bacterium. Its description in RNAcentral is "bacterial SSU rRNA". It matches the Rfam family "Bacterial small subunit ribosomal RNA", at positions 9 to 910 of the family's 1533-position model. The record is from RNAcentral.